UUGAAAGGGAAACGAUUGAAGUCAGUCGUACCUGCGGACAAUCAGCCUUUCGGGUGCGAUUAUGUGGAGCGUGGGGAGCUAAACGCCUUCAUGCCUGCAUAUUCGUGCACUUUGGGUGUACUUGCCCGUGUGGUAGGUUAACAUCAAUUUCGGAUAUCAUAAAAUGGCUGGAGGAAUGUAGCUUCGGUCUCGUACUGAAGUGUUAUAGCCUUCGGCAGAUAUGGUGACCGGGAUUGAGGAUUGCAACGGAUACCUUUUGGGCUACCCGCCUGAUCUCUGAAAGUUGCUCUGGUGCCGAAAGCUUGCUUACGGUUAUCAAAGUUGACGUUCAAAAGGUUAGAACGGGUUAAAUUCGUUAAGGAUGUUGACGUA
RNAcentral lists this ribosomal RNA (372 nucleotides) under uncultured Glomeromycotina. RNAcentral describes it as "LSU rRNA". Lineage: Eukaryota; Fungi; Glomeromycota. The record is from RNAcentral.